CAGUCGCCGCGGGAAUACGUAGGUGGCAAGCGUUGUCCGGAAUUAUUGGGCGUAAAGGGCUCGCAGGCGGUUUCUUAAGUCUGAUGUGAAAGCCCCCGGCUCAACCGGGGAGGGUCAUUGGAAACUGGGAAACUUGAGUGCAGAAGAGGAGAGUGGAAUUCCACGUGUAGCGGUGAAAUGCGUAGAGAUGUGGAGGAACACCAGUGGCGAAGGCGGCUCUCUGGUCUGUAACUGACGCUGAGGAGCGAAAGCGUGGGGAGCGAACAGGAUUAGAUACCCCAGUAGUCCCUGUCUCUUAUAC
Molecule: ribosomal RNA, 301 nt
Filed under: uncultured bacterium
Lineage: Bacteria
Description: partial 16S ribosomal RNA
Rfam family: Bacterial small subunit ribosomal RNA
Source: RNAcentral